AUACGUAAGGGGCGAGCGUUGUCCGGAAUGAUUGGGCGUAAAGGGCGCGUAGGCGGCUUUGCAAGUCAGUAGUGGAAGUCCAUUUUUCAAGGAUGGAAGUGCUACAGAAACUGCGGAGCUUGAGUGCAGGAGAGGUUAUCGGAAUUCCCGGUGUAGCGGUGAAAUGCGUAGAGAUCGGGAGGAACACCAGUGGCGAAGGCGGGUAACUGGACUGCAACUGACGCUGAGGCGCGAAAGUGUGGGGAGCAAACAGGAUUAGAUACCCUGGUAGUCCACACUGUAAACGAUGAAUGCUAGGUGUAGGAGGUAUCGACCCCUUCUGUGCCGCAGUAAACACAGUAAGCAUUCCGCCUGGGGAGUACGGUCGCAAGAUUAAAACUCAAAUGAAUGGACGGGG
This 397-nucleotide ribosomal RNA is filed under the name uncultured bacterium. Its description in RNAcentral is "partial 16S ribosomal RNA". It matches the Rfam family "Bacterial small subunit ribosomal RNA", at positions 523 to 918 of the family's 1533-position model. The record is from RNAcentral.